UACAGUCAGCUGUAUCUCAUUGUAGAAUAUGACUAGGAUUGCUCAAGUAUUCAUCACAUUUGCAGUUUCAUCUCUGUGGCUCCAAGGUUAUUCGCAGGAUGUGAUUCAGUACCCUGAAAUCAGCUGGAGUUUCUUCAACAAGGCUGCAGAGAUGAACUGCAGCCACAAGAAAGAUAUACGUUACACUCAGAUGUACUGGUACAUUCAAAGACCAGGAGAGACCAUGAGCCUCAUCGUCUUCACAGCCUCUGGUGGGAAGACUGACUAUGGUGCACUUGAUCAAACUAAAUAUUCAGCCAGCAAAGAAAAAGUUGAGAGUGGGGCUCUUACUGUGAAUGACUUGCAGCUGAAUGACAGCGGCGUGUACUUCUGUGCCGUCAGCAUACACAGUGAUGUGUUUGCCUGGGUGUUGAAGUCAAUCAAACACCUUUGGAGGUUUUCAGAAGACCUGGAGAAAAAGUCCAGCUGGUCUGCAGCCAUGGAAAGACUGACUACAUACUCAUGCACUGGUACCAGAAAUCCCCUGGAGACCAAGCUCUGA
This is a non-coding RNA of Archocentrus centrarchus (flier cichlid), 541 nucleotides long. Lineage: Eukaryota; Metazoa; Chordata; Actinopteri; Cichliformes; Cichlidae. The record is from the annotation of a RefSeq genome assembly.